This 490-nucleotide ribosomal RNA is filed under the name uncultured bacterium. RNAcentral describes it as "partial 16S ribosomal RNA". It matches the Rfam family "Bacterial small subunit ribosomal RNA", at positions 29 to 507 of the family's 1533-position model. The record is from RNAcentral.
AGUGAACGCUGGCGGUAGGCCUAACACAUGCAAGUCGAACGGCAGCACGGGAGAGCUUGCUCUCUGGGUGGCGAGUGGCGGACGGGUGAGGAAUACAUCGGAAUCUACCUUUUCGUGGGGGAUAACGUAGGGAAACUUACGCUAAUACCGCAUACGACCUACGGGUGAAAGUGGGGGACCGCAAGGCCUCACGCGAUUAGAUGAGCCGAUGUCCGAUUAGCUAGUUGGCGGGGUAAUGGCCCACCAAGGCGACGAUCGGUAGCUGGUCUGAGAGGAUGAUCAGCCACACUGGAACUGAGACACGGUCCAGACUCCUACGGGAGGCAGCAGUGGGGAAUAUUGGACAAUGGGCGCAAGCCUGAUCCAGCCAUACCGCGUGGGUGAAGAAGGCCUUCGGGUUGUAAAGCCCUUUUGUUGGGAAAGAAAUCCUGUCGAUUAAUACUCGGUGGGGAUGACGGUACCCAAAGAAUAAGCACCGGCUAACUUCGUG